RNAcentral lists this long non-coding RNA (1395 nucleotides) under Nicotiana benthamiana. Its description in RNAcentral is "long non-coding RNA (NBEN_LNC019649)". The record is from RNAcentral. Lineage: Eukaryota; Viridiplantae; Streptophyta; Magnoliopsida; Solanales; Solanaceae.
GAAAUAAUACAAGCAAUAAAAGACAUGCCACAAGACAAGGCACCUGGGGUGGAUGGCAUCCCAGUGGAGUUUUUCAUCUGGCAGUGGCACAUUGUAGGGGAUGACAUUUGUGAAGCUGUGACAGAUUUCUUUACAACUGGGAAACUACAUUCUGGAGUUAGUAGCACUGCACUGACUCUCAUUCCCAAGGCAGAUAAUCCAACUAAAGUCAAGGAUUACAGGCCAAUUGCCUGUUGCACAACUGUAUACAAGAUCCUCACAAAGAUUAUUACAGCUAAGUUGAAAGGGGUUAUUGAUUCUCUAGUGGGCAAGUCACAAUCAGCUUUCAUCGAGGGUCGCAGCAUUAUUGAUAACAUAUUGUUCACACAAGAAUUGUUCAAGGGCUAUUCCAGGAAGGGCCUCUCUCCUAGGUGUGUGCUAAAGGUGGACCUAAAGAAGUCUUACGACUCAGUUGAAUGGGUUUUUCUUAGUAGAUUGUUGCAAGGGCUGGGGUUUCCUUCUAAAUUUAUUGGUUGGAUAAUGGAAUAUGGACCUAAAGAAGGCUUACGACUCAGUUGAAUUGGUUUUUCUUAGUAGAUUGUUACAGGGGCUGGGGUUUCCUUCUAAAUUUAUUGGUUGGAUAAUGGAAUGUAUAUCAAUUGUAUCCAAUUCUCUCAACUUUAAUGGAGGUCUAGCUGCUCCAUUUAAAGGGAAAAGAGGUUUGCGACAAGGUGACCCAAUGUCACCAUACCUCUUUGUACUGGAAAUGGAGUAUCUACAUAGGCAGCUUGUGCAAGUGAUGCUGAGGAAAGACUUCAGGUUCCAUCCUAAAUGCAAGAAGUUGGGUGUAGCACAUGUUUGCUUUGCGGAUGACCUCCUCUUAUUCUGCAAGGCAGAUAUUCGAUCAGUUAGCCUGCUGAAACAGAUUCUUCAGGAGUUCUCUAAGGUUUCUGGUCUUCACGCAAAUGCGGACAAGAGUGAAGUUUACUUAGCAGGCGUGAACAACUGGCAGAAACAGCAGAUACUUCAGAUAUUGGGAUUUCCAUAAGGCAAUCUCCCUUUCAAGUAUUUGGGGAUGCCUCUGGACUCGAAGAAGUUGUCUGUUGCACAAUGCUGGCCACUUGUGGAGAAAAUUACACAGAAAGUUAACUGUUGGUCGUCAAGGCUCCUAUCUUAUGAUGGUCGGCUUCAAUUGAUAAAAUCUGUCUUGUUUGGUAUUCAAGCCUACUGGUCCUAGAUCUUUUUAUUGCCCAAAAAGAUUUUGAAGAUGACAGAGGCCAUAUGUAGUCCUAUCUGUGGAUUGGUGCUGCCACAGUCUCAAGAAAGGCCAUGAUUGCAUGGGACAGUAUGUGCUUGCCUUACAGUGCAGGGGGUCUGAAUGUCUUAGACCUAGCUAAAUGGAACAAAGCUAUUGUG